GCUGAUGUAGCUCAGAGGCCGAGCACCGCUCUGGUAAGGCGGAGGUCACGGGUUCGAUUCCCGUCAUCAGCU
RNAcentral lists this transfer RNA (72 nucleotides) under Myxococcales bacterium. RNAcentral's name for it is "tRNA-Thr". It matches the Rfam family "tRNA". From Rfam's summary of the family: Transfer RNA (tRNA) molecules are approximately 80 nucleotides in length. Their secondary structure includes four short double-helical elements and three loops (D, anti-codon, and T loops). Further hydrogen bonds mediate the characteristic L-shaped molecular structure. tRNAs have two regions of fundamental functional importance: the anti-codon, which is responsible for specific mRNA codon recognition, and the 3' end, to which the tRNAs corresponding amino acid is attached (by aminoacyl-tRNA synthetases). tRNAs cope with the degeneracy of the genetic code in two manners: having more than one tRNA (with a specific anti-codon) for a particular amino acid; and 'wobble' base-pairing, i.e. permitting non-standard base-pairing at the 3rd anti-codon position. Lineage: Bacteria; Pseudomonadati; Myxococcota; Myxococcia; Myxococcales. The record is from RNAcentral.